Transfer RNA from Camelus ferus (Wild Bactrian camel), 72 nucleotides. It matches the Rfam family "tRNA". Rfam says of the family: Transfer RNA (tRNA) molecules are approximately 80 nucleotides in length. Lineage: Eukaryota; Metazoa; Chordata; Mammalia; Artiodactyla; Camelidae. The record is from Rfam.
GAGGAUGUAGCUCAGUGGUAGGGUGCAUGCCUAGCGCACAUGAAGUCCUGGGCUCAAUCCCCAGUACCUCCA